Molecule: ribosomal RNA, 253 nt
Filed under: uncultured bacterium
Lineage: Bacteria
Description: partial 16S ribosomal RNA
Rfam family: Bacterial small subunit ribosomal RNA
Source: RNAcentral
UACAGAGGGUGCAAGCGUUGUUCGGAAUUGUUGGGCGUAAAGCGCGUGUAGGGGGCUUUGCAAGUCGCGUGUGAAAGCCCUCGGCUCAACCGCGGAAGUCCGCGCGAAACUGCAGAGCUUGAGUACCGGAGAGGAUGGCGGAAUUCCCCAAGUAGAGGUGAAAUUCGUAGAUAUGGGGAGGAACACCGGUGGCGAAGGCGGCCAUCUGGACGGAUACUGACGCUGAGCCGCGAAAGCGUGGGGAGCAAACAGG